RNAcentral lists this ribosomal RNA (274 nucleotides) under uncultured bacterium. Its description in RNAcentral is "partial 16S ribosomal RNA". It matches the Rfam family "Bacterial small subunit ribosomal RNA", at positions 523 to 796 of the family's 1533-position model. The record is from RNAcentral.
AUACGAAGGGGGCUAGCGUUGUUCGGAAUUACUGGGCGUAAAGCGCGCGUAGGCGGACUGAUCAGUUGGGGGUGAAAUCCCAGGGCUUAACCCUGGAACUGCCUCCAAUACUGUCAGUCUUGAGUUCGGGAGAGGUGAGUGGAAUUCCUAGUGUAGAGGUGAAAUUCGUAGAUAUUAGGAAGAACACCAGUGGCGAAGGCGGCUCACUGGCCCGAUACUGACACUGAGGAGCGAAAGCAUGGGGAGCAAACAGGAUUAGAAACCCUAGUAGUCC